RNAcentral lists this ribosomal RNA (1537 nucleotides) under Citrobacter koseri. RNAcentral's name for it is "bacterial SSU rRNA". It matches the Rfam family "Bacterial small subunit ribosomal RNA". Lineage: Bacteria; Pseudomonadati; Pseudomonadota; Gammaproteobacteria; Enterobacterales; Enterobacteriaceae. The record is from RNAcentral.
UUGAAGAGUUUGAUCAUGGCUCAGAUUGAACGCUGGCGGCAGGCCUAACACAUGCAAGUCGAACGGUAACAGGAAGCAGCUUGCUGCUUUGCUGACGAGUGGCGGACGGGUGAGUAAUGUCUGGGAAACUGCCUGAUGGAGGGGGAUAACUACUGGAAACGGUAGCUAAUACCGCAUAACGUCGCAAGACCAAAGAGGGGGACCUUCGGGCCUCUUGCCAUCAGAUGUGCCCAGAUGGGAUUAGCUUGUUGGUGGGGUAACGGCUCACCAAGGCGACGAUCCCUAGCUGGUCUGAGAGGAUGACCAGCCACACUGGAACUGAGACACGGUCCAGACUCCUACGGGAGGCAGCAGUGGGGAAUAUUGCACAAUGGGCGCAAGCCUGAUGCAGCCAUGCCGCGUGUAUGAAGAAGGCCUUCGGGUUGUAAAGUACUUUCAGCGGGGAGGAAGGUGCUGUGGUUAAUAACCGCAGCAAUUGACGUUACCCGCAGAAGAAGCACCGGCUAACUCCGUGCCAGCAGCCGCGGUAAUACGGAGGGUGCAAGCGUUAAUCGGAAUUACUGGGCGUAAAGCGCACGCAGGCGGUCUGUUAAGUCAGAUGUGAAAUCCCCGGGCUCAACCUGGGAACUGCAUCUGAUACUGGCAGGCUUGAGUCUCGUAGAGGGGGUAGAAUUCCAGGUGUAGCGGUGAAAUGCGUAGAGAUCUGGAGGAAUACCGGUGGCGAAGGCGGCCCCCUGGACGAAGACUGACGCUCAGGUGCGAAAGCGUGGGGAGCAAACAGGAUUAGAUACCCUGGUAGUCCACGCCGUAAACGAUGUCGACUUGGAGGUUGUGCCCUUGAGGCGUGGCUUCCGGAGCUAACGCGUUAAGUCGACCGCCUGGGGAGUACGGCCGCAAGGUUAAAACUCAAAUGAAUUGACGGGGGCCCGCACAAGCGGUGGAGCAUGUGGUUUAAUUCGAUGCAACGCGAAGAACCUUACCUGGUCUUGACAUCCACGGAAGUUUUCAGAGAUGAGAAUGUGCCUUCGGGAGCCGUGAGACAGGUGCUGCAUGGCUGUCGUCAGCUCGUGUUGUGAAAUGUUGGGUUAAGUCCCGCAACGAGCGCAACCCUUAUCCUUUGUUGCCAGCGGUUAGGCCGGGAACUCAAAGGAGACUGCCAGUGAUAAACUGGAGGAAGGUGGGGAUGACGUCAAGUCAUCAUGGCCCUUACGACCAGGGCUACACACGUGCUACAAUGGCAUAUACAAAGAGAAGCGACCUCGCGAGAGCAAGCGGACCUCAUAAAGUAUGUCGUAGUCCGGAUUGGAGUCUGCAACUCGACUCCAUGAAGUCGGAAUCGCUAGUAAUCGUGGAUCAGAAUGCCACGGUGAAUACGUUCCCGGGCCUUGUACACACCGCCCGUCACACCAUGGGAGUGGGUUGCAAAAGAAGUAGGUAGCUUAACCUUCGGGAGGGCGCUUACCACUUUGUGAUUCAUGACUGGGGUGAAGUCGUAACAAGGUAACCGUAGGGGAACCUGCGGUUGGAUCACCUCCUU